Molecule: long non-coding RNA, 380 nt
Filed under: Brassica napus (rape)
Lineage: Eukaryota; Viridiplantae; Streptophyta; Magnoliopsida; Brassicales; Brassicaceae
Description: long non-coding RNA (BNAP_LNC013079)
Source: RNAcentral
UAUUAUUUGUUCAUAUCCAAACCAUGUUCAUAUAUAAUAUAAAUUAAAGAAAAAAGUAGAAAAAAUGAUUGGAAAUUUUAAACAUAAGAUGUAAGUGAACCCACCAAUCCCGGUGAAAUCAUUUCCCUCCAAUGAUUAUAUUGAAACAUAUUCAACUUUCGACUAUUUUACAUAUUCGAUUUUAGUUUUCUCGACUUUAUAACCAGCUAGCUGGUCCUUUUCCAUAUGAUGGAAACUGGGGUGAAAUACUUCUAUUUGAUUUGAACGGCUAAAACUUCCAAAUGACAAAUACCUAUCUUAUAUUAGAUCUUGAAAACAACUUGCACAUUUAUCCCACCCAAAAAACGACUUGUAUAUACUUUUUAUAAGAAAACAGAACU